RNAcentral lists this transfer RNA (118 nucleotides) under Bacteriophage sp. RNAcentral describes it as "tRNA-Asn". It matches the Rfam family "tRNA". Rfam says of the family: Transfer RNA (tRNA) molecules are approximately 80 nucleotides in length. Their secondary structure includes four short double-helical elements and three loops (D, anti-codon, and T loops). Further hydrogen bonds mediate the characteristic L-shaped molecular structure. tRNAs have two regions of fundamental functional importance: the anti-codon, which is responsible for specific mRNA codon recognition, and the 3' end, to which the tRNAs corresponding amino acid is attached (by aminoacyl-tRNA synthetases). tRNAs cope with the degeneracy of the genetic code in two manners: having more than one tRNA (with a specific anti-codon) for a particular amino acid; and 'wobble' base-pairing, i.e. permitting non-standard base-pairing at the 3rd anti-codon position. The record is from RNAcentral.
UCUCCUGUAGCUCAGUCGGAUAGAGCGCUUAAUAACGAGACUUGUAAAAGCCUUAAACAGCAAGUUUCAAAUGGUCUGUUAAACCAGAGGUCACAGGUUCGAGUCCUGUCAGGAGACU